AGAUAAAAAUAGAUUAUCUUCGUGACCAUUCAUAUUCGUAUAUCGAUAACACUUUAUAUCCGAAUCUCGAGGAUGAAAUAGCGGUGGCGACAUCUUUCGAUUUUUCAAUUUCUCGAACGUUGACGGAAAACGUAACGGAGAAUACGACGACGUUUCAUCGUAUUCCUCGAAAAUAGCGUAAUCUGUUUAAAAAGUCGAAUGUCCCUGAUUUACACGCUCGUUGCCGUAUAAGAGGGGCGGAGUGGAGAGGGUCACGGAAGCGCGAAGGAAAGAUUUGCGACUAGGGAAACUUUUCCGUAGGGAAGAUUAAGGUGGUGGCAUCCACUCCUCCAUAUCUUUAAGUUCACUCGUCGCUUCCGCCCUUUACGGCGUCUUAAAAAGCCACUUUCGUGAUACUCCCUCCGUGCGAACCCGGUAAAACUUUCUGAUUAAACUUUUACCCGGGAAUUCGAAAUUAAUUACCGUGGCGCUAACUUAUUUUUACCGUAAUUAAAUGCAACGAAUGUGAAAAGAGGGAAGGGGGAAAAGAAGGGAAAAAAAACGAUGUCAUCGAAAAAGUGCGAAGUACGGGGAUAUCUAUCAGGAAAUCAUGGUGCACGGUCGAUAAGUUAGCGACUCUUGAUUUAAAAAUGUAAAUUGAAAAAUUUUAAGAGAUAAAAUUUUUUCAUAUAGGGUCCCAAUUUUUUGGAAAGGUUAUAUUUGAAAAUUAGGUGAUAUAUAAUGUAGAUACUUAUUUAGUUAAUUGUUAUAGUAUAAAAUAAUUGAAUGGAACGAAAAAGUGGAAAAUAUUUAGGAAAUCUUGGUACACAUUUUGGUAACAUAAGUCGAAAAAUUUUAGAAGAAAAUUUUUUCAUACAGUAUCCUGUUUUUAGGGGAAAAUUAUAUUUUAAGAUUCGUGGAAUAUUAAAAAUUGUUAUGGUAUAAUGUGAAAGAGAAAAAGGUAAUAUCGAAAAAAAUAUAAAACGUAGGAUAUCGAGAAAAUUGCGGUACACGGUUGAUGAUUCUUGAUUUAAAAAUGCAAAUAUGAAAAUCGAAAAAUUUUAGGGGAUAAAAUUUUUUCGUAUAGGAUCCCGUUUUUUUGGAGGGGAAAAUUAUAUUUGAAGAUUGGUGGAAUAUAGAUGCACUCACUUACUCAAUUGCUAUGACAUAAAAUAAUUAAGUGCAACGAAUGUGAAAGAGAAAAAAAAUAGUAUUAUCAAAAGUGUAAAGUGCAGGCUAUCUGCAAAAUUGUGAAAAAAAAAUGACUCUCGAUAAAAAAAACUUAUUUUUAGCACAAUUAAAUGCGAUAUAAAAAAAAAAAGAAAAAAAAACAAUCUGAAAAAUUGGUGGAACUAAGAAAGCAGAGGACUCUUAUAAUUAAAAAAUAUAAUUUAAAAAAAUAAAAAAGCAUAAAAUACAGAAAAAUAUCUUUGAAAUUGUGAUAAAAUAAAAAAAAUAAAUAAUCGUUGAUUAAAAAAAUAAAUCGAAAAUAAAAUAGAAAAAAAUGUAUUCACAAAGAGUUUGACGUACUAUUGCUCUAGAUACAAUUGGAGGAUAACGUUUUAUUCGUGACACGUGACUCUAGCAACUGUAUAUGUAGAUACCGAUAGCACGCUCUUCUCCAGUAUUUCAGAUUGAUUAACAGCGGUAAAAGAGUAAAACGAACGGAAAAAUUCAGGAAACCUAUGUAUAAACAAUUAUAGCCAAGUGUCGUUGAUUGAUUCGAGUACUUUAAAAAGAUUAAUAAUCACAAAUACUUCAUGUUGUGGAAAUUGUUUUCUUUUCGUGUCAAUCAUGUUCUAACAAGUUCGAUAUGCAUGCAUAUUAUAUUAAAUAUAUAUGCAGGAACGAAUAUAUGGAUAGCAUUCCACAAACAUUUGUAUAGUUAUAUAUAUAUAUAUAUAUAAAUGUUAUAUAAAACGCUUUGCAAUCGUCAAACAAAAAGCAAAAGCAUGUAGCAAAAAUAUGUGCCAUAAAAUUUGCAUUAAAAAAAAGAGAGAGAGAGAGAGAAAAAAUAUGCACGCACUUUGAAAGAACGCAAUUUAAUCCUGUAUAUCGAGAAAAUAACGAAAAGAUCGACGAACGAUAAAUUUCGAUUAUUUUUAUUUUUUCAGGAAAUUAAAUAUUUUUAUAUUUUGAAUUCAUAUUUCGAAAUAUAUCUACAUUUAUCGAAUUUUGAAAUUUGCAAUUUUAAAAAAUUCAAAUGUAAGAAUAUGUAGAUAUCUAUAUAUAAGAUGUUAAAAAAAAUCGUGGCACGAAUGAAAAAAAGAUUAUUCCAGACUUAAAAGUGAAUGGAAACAUGUCAAAUCUAUUCGUACGCUAAUCGAAAUGCCGUGAAAAUGGCCAGUUUGUAAUUGGGUUUGGUAUCACGCAAUCCGGCUCAACCGUUUCAUCUAUUGACAAUAAAUCUGAUAGGAAUAAAAAGAAAUUGUAACUCCGGCUGGAUUCGCUUUCGAUUUGUUUGAGGAUCCUCUUCGAUGAGAUCAUUGAGUUCAUUCGCUGGUAUAACUAAGUACUUAUAUCACUGACCAUGUACGUCUGCUCCAAUUCGGUACGCAGGAAGCGCGAAUGAUUUAGUGGAGCCUAUAUUAGUAGACACUUGACAGAGUCUAGUGGAAAAGCUUAAUGGCUCUCGUGAUCGGAAGGGAAGCAGUGAGAGGAGGCGAAAAAAAGGAAACCGCUUUACCGAUGUUGCAUCACGCCACGAUUUUUAUCGAGUGCCUCGUUUUACGAGUGCUAUUUCGAGUGCUCGUUCGGUGACGACGUGGAGAAAAGAAAAGUGCGCGAAAGAUAUGGAGAAGAGAAAGAGAAGCGACAAGCAAAUAAAUUUCUUGGAUAUUAGAUUCGAACCGAAUAUAAAAACAGUCGUUCAUCGCGAAUAUUAAAAGAUAUUACUACCAUUCUCGAUAACAUUGUAGAUGUGUAACAUUUGUUCAAUUCGUAUGACCAAUAACGAUCGUAUUCACAGUGAACUGUUAUCUCUGUAGUACGUUUAAUUUAUCUGGAAAUCUAUCGUAUCGUAAUUUUAUUAUUGAAAUGCUUUUUUUCUCCUAAUUUUUUUUUCUAUUCUUUUAAGUAUGAAAUAUAGAAAAGAGAACAGAUUACUCGACUACUAUAAAAGUAAGGUUAUAAUUCAAGAAAAGUUGAGAAAUACAGUACUAAGUAAUUAUGUACUUUGUCCUUUAACAAUAUCCUUGAUGUACGCGUUAAUUAAUAUGAUAAUAUAAUACUAUAGUAAUAACAGUAUUAGCAUGUCGACUAAGUACAUUGCAGAUUCUAUGCAAAUUAGUAUCUUUAUGAGUGCAGGAAAGAAAUGGAACCUAGAUAGAGAUUUGUUUCAUUCUUGAAAUAUUAUACCACAGUACUUUACUUUCAGUAUAUUUUUGCAUCAUUAUAUGCACAUUUCAUACAUAUAUAAAUUUCUCAUAAAUGCACAUAUACCUAACAUAAUACUUAAUCUACUUAUAAGUAGCUUCCCCUUAAACAUAAUGAAAUAACUUGCGGCUGACCUACUAUACUUGCCACUAGAGGGACUUCGCACACCGUAACACAAUUCUCUUAGCUGUCCUUUUCCUACAAAUAUCUGACCUAACCUUUAUUACUAGAACUUAGUAACAUAUAGUUUUCUUAUGUACAUCAUCUUUUCUUUCUUUUAAAUCUUCAUCGCUAUCUUAUUAUUUGAAGAGUUAUAUGAUAUAAUAAUUAUUUAUUUUAAAAGUUAUAUUCUGUUUCUAAUUUAAGUUAUAUGGAACCAAGUGUGAGAUUUCUCAAAGUCACUCUGAAAAUUUAAACUGGAAUUAGCAGUAGCGGUAUAUGAGAAUGUUACAGGUAUAUAUACUUAUGUGUUACUGCAGUUGAAAUUCCCUGAACUUUCUAGUAUAUGUAGCAAUAACUACUUAUAAUGUUAUGUCCCUGUUUCAAUCUUCAGUAACUAAAACAUAAUGCUAACUAACUGUCGUUAUUAUUAACAAUCUGUUAUUAUUAUUAUUAUUAUUAUUAAUAUUAUUAUUAUGAUUAGUGCAUUUUUUAUAAAAAAAAAUUCAUUACUUAAAAUAAAAGUUAAAAUACUAGAAUAAAAUUCUUUAUUAAAAAAAAACUUUUUCUUCAAUAUAUCCAAUAAAUAUCAAUAAUAAAUUUAUACAUUUUUGUGCGCUCUUCCAUCUUUCUCUACCCGCAAAUAGAAAACUUCGCGUGAUAAAUGUCAACCAUGCCUCAUCCAGGCUAUGAGUAAAUCGUACACAGUUUGCAGCCGCUACGUAUAAUAACUCUGAAACGAAGAGAAGUAUUUCACGGAGCCUAUCGUUGCAUUGGAACAAAUAUCGUGUUUGUCCAACUUCGAGCCGAGAAAUAACAAGAAGAAUUUUAUUUGUCCCUCGGCCUUAUUUGGAACUAUUGAACCGCGAUAUCUUUCGUGUUCGACAAGACGGGAGUGGGAGGGGAAAUCGAAUGGAGGGGAUAAGGCAUUGCGCCGCGCAAACUUUGCUAAUUUCUUGAAACUCGUGAAACUUCCUUUGGUUACACGAUACUCUUAAUUCACUUGCCCGAGUUUAAACAUUCCCUCGCAUUUAGCCGCAGUACGGACGCAGUAGGAAUUCAAUAAACAAGUUACACGCCGCUUUCUCCUUUGAUUUCGAAUUUCCUUUCGAUCGCGUGAAUUAAUUAAGGCCACAGGAAAUUAAUUAAGGGGGUUCGCGUCCUCUGGUCGUCUCACGCGCUAUUUUAAAUUGAAAACUUUGCUCCUCCAAGUUUCUCGCGCAUAUUACGCGUCUUACGAAUGUUCUUGUUUCAAAUUCAUGGAAACUGUGUGACUGCUUUUAUUAUAUGCUAUCAUGGAUUAAAUUACAUUGUAUUACUAUGUAAAGAAAGACGUUAUUUAAAUAAGGUUAAUAUUGAAUGUAUUCUUUAAUAGACCAGAAAAUAAAUAUAAAAAUUAUAUUAAAAUAAA
Molecule: long non-coding RNA, 4924 nt
Organism: Apis cerana (Asiatic honeybee)
Lineage: Eukaryota; Metazoa; Arthropoda; Insecta; Hymenoptera; Apidae
Source: RefSeq, a predicted model, not a curated record